UACGUAGGGUGCAAGCGUUAAUCGGAAUUACUGGGCGUAAAGCGUGCGCAGGCGGUUUUGUAAGUCUGAUGUGAAAUCCCCGGGCUCAACCUGGGAAUUGCAUUGGAGACUGCAAGGCUAGAAUCUGGCAGAGGGGGGUAGAAUUCCACGUGUAGCAGUGAAAUGCGUAGAGAUGUGGAGGAACACCGAUGGCGAAGGCAGCCCCCUGGGUCAAGAUUGACGCUCAUGCACGAAAGCGUGGGUAGCAAACAGG
Molecule: ribosomal RNA, 253 nt
Filed under: uncultured bacterium
Lineage: Bacteria
Description: partial 16S ribosomal RNA
Rfam family: Bacterial small subunit ribosomal RNA
Source: RNAcentral